RNAcentral lists this ribosomal RNA (484 nucleotides) under uncultured bacterium. Its description in RNAcentral is "partial 16S ribosomal RNA". It matches the Rfam family "Bacterial small subunit ribosomal RNA", at positions 30 to 507 of the family's 1533-position model. The record is from RNAcentral.
AUUGAUCGCUGGCGGCAGGCCUAACACAUGCAAGUCGAGCGGAUGAAGGGAGCUUGCUCCUGGAUUCAGCGGCGGACGGGUGAGUAAUGCCUAGGAAUCUGCCUGGUAGUGGGGGAUAACGUCCGGAAACGGGCGCUAAUACCGCAUACGUCCUGAGGGAGAAAGUGGGGGAUCUUCGGACCUCACGCUAUCAGAUGAGCCUAGGUCGGAUUAUCUAGUUGGUGGGGUAAAGGCCUACCAAGGCGACGAUCCGUAACUGGUCUGAGAGGAUGAUCAGUCACACUGGAACUGAGACACGGUCCAGACUCCUACGGGAGGCAGCAGUGGGGAAUAUUGGACAAUGGGCGAAAGCCUGAUCCAGCCAUGCCGCGUGUGUGAAGAAGGUCUUCGGAUUGUAAAGCACUUUAAGUUGGGAGGAAGGGCAGUAAGUUAAUACCUUGCUGUUUUGACGUUACCAACAGAAUAAGCACCGGCUAACUUCGUG